RNAcentral lists this ribosomal RNA (301 nucleotides) under uncultured bacterium. RNAcentral's name for it is "partial 16S ribosomal RNA". It matches the Rfam family "Bacterial small subunit ribosomal RNA", at positions 509 to 807 of the family's 1533-position model. The record is from RNAcentral.
CAGCAGCCGCGGUAAUACGUAGGUGGCAAGCGUUGUCCGGAAUUAUUGGGCGUAAAGGGCUCGCAGGCGGUUUCUUAAGUCUGAUGUGAAAGCCCCCGGCUCAACCGGGGAGGGUCAUUGGAAACUGGGAAACUUGGGUGCAGAAGAGGAGAGUGGAAUUCCACGUGUAGCGGUGAAAUGCGUAGAGAUGUGGAGGAACACCAGUGGCGAAGGCGACUCUCUGGUCUGUAACUGACGCUGAGGAGCGAAAGCGUGGGGAGCGAACAGGAUUAGAGACCCCUGUAGUCCCUGUCUCUUAUAC